Non-coding RNA from Poecilia formosa (Amazon molly), 73 nucleotides. The record is from Rfam. Lineage: Eukaryota; Metazoa; Chordata; Actinopteri; Cyprinodontiformes; Poeciliidae.
GUUCCUGUAGUGUAGAGGUUAUCACAUUUGCUUUACAUGCAAAAGGUUUUUGGUUCAAAACCAGACAGAAACU